Unclassified non-coding RNA from Vigna unguiculata (cowpea), 6431 nucleotides. NCBI's taxonomy places the organism in Eukaryota, Viridiplantae, Streptophyta, Magnoliopsida, Fabales, Fabaceae. The record is from RefSeq and is a predicted model, not a curated record.
GGUCAAAAUUGAAAAGCAACGUUCGGAUUGAAAAAUAGAGAGAGAAAGAGAAAGUGGCACAAAAACAAAAGAGAAGAAGGAUCAUAAAAACCUUCCCAUUUGCUUCCAAAUACUAUACUCCUUCCUUCCAAAGCAACGACACUCUUUGGAACCAAUUCGCCGUUCUCUCUCUCUCUCUGCAUCUCUUCAACAAGUCUCAGAUUCUUUCCCUAUUUAUCUCGCCGCCAUUGUCAAUGCCGGCGGCCUCUCCGUGUGCGCCGCUGCUAUAGCCGGAGAUUCUGCGGCGGAGAUUCUCGCGGCGGUUCCGUCGGAUUUUUCUAGGGUUUUCUGAUCGUUCGGUUUGCGCUCCGUGGCAUCAACGCCCUAAUGCCUCCGCCGCGCCGACGCGGAGCGAACAAGGCGAAGGCCAAUGGUCACUUGAGGUUGGGCGAUCUUGUGCUCGCUAAGGUUAAGGGAUUCCCGUAUUGGCCUGCCAUGAUAAGCAGGCCUGAAGAUUGGGAUAAACCCCCUGAUCCAAAGAAGUAUUUUGUUCAAUUUUUUGGGACCAAAGAAAUAGCUUUUGUUGCCCCUGCGGAUAUUCAGGUAUUCACCAAUGAGACUAAAACUAAGUUGUCUGCUCGGUGUCAAGGAAAGACAAAGUAUUUCACCAAAGCCGUGAAGGAAAUCUGUGCAGCAUUUGAGGAGUUAGAGAAACAGAAAGCUAGUGGUUUGAAAGAGGACACUGAUGAUUCACAUAUAGGUUCGGGAACUCCUGUUGUUGGGGUAUUGGCUCACCCAAAGGAUGCCACAGAUGCUGUGGUACUCAAUGUAGAAAAAACUGACACAUAUGUGGGAGAUGUUGGCUCAAAUUUGGAGCAAUGUACACAGAAAUGUGAAGAAAGUGGUAGCCAAGAUGCAAAACCUUCUCUAUCUGGUCAUCCAAUUGACGGUUCGUCUCCAGUGUUGUCUCCUGUGAUUGAAAGUAAACCAUUAAUUGGUGAAGAACUGAAUAACCACAGUAGCAAAUCUGGCCUGGACAAACAAUCAUGUCGUAAAGUUGAAGACUCUGAUAUUGAGAAUGUGUGCAAUGUUAAUGACUUAAAGCAAGCUGAUUAUGUACAGAGUGUUUCUACAAAUGGGAACAACUCAAGAAAGAUUGUUAGUGGCUCAAGAAGAAGCAAGAUUGCAGAUGAUAGGAAAAGAAGUGGUGAAAUUAGUAGAGCAGUUUUGAAAGAUGAAAGUUGUGCAGGUUAUGCUGGUUUUUCCAGGUCUGGAGAGAAAUCGAAAGAUAAAAAAAAGGGGAAAGAUUCAUUUUCUGUUAGGUCAGAUUCUCUAGAUGCUCCAAAAUCAGACACUGAUAUUAACGGUGGAAGUAAAAAUAAGAACUUGCUGAAAGUUAAAACAAGUCUUAAGGUUAAAAAAGAGUUACAAGAGAGCUUUGAAUGUUCUGAGGCCGAGAGAAAAAAACCUCUUAAGCAUAACAAAACCCAAGUUCAUGGAAAACGUAAUUUGGGAACAAAUGAAACCUCACAUGCUACCAAGAAGUUGAAGUUUAUGGAUAACAAAGACAACAAGACUUCAAAGUCUCUCUCGGAAGAUGGAAAUAGUGUUUUGCCUAGCUCUCCUGACAAAGAAUUCAAACAAAUAGAGCUGAAAAGGUCUACAUCACGUUUGAAAUCAGAAAAAGGUUUGCCAUCAAGGGGUCAGAUCAGCAUUGUAGGUUCUGAUGAUUCUGUUGGUGAAUUACUGCCUGAGACAAAACAUCGUACCCAAGUCCCGCAAGCUAUGCCUGAUUCUGCUAGUGUUUCAUCUGGUGGACAUACAGAGAUAAGUUCUCUUGGUUCGAAAGGUGACACAAAUAAUGUUGCAAUUAAGCAAGUAAAGAGGAGACGAAGAGCUGUUUGCGUUUCUGAUGAUGAUGAUGAUGAUGAACCCAAGACUCCUGUUCAUGGAGGAGCUGCUAAAGAUAUUAAAUCAACUUCUUUUGUUUCAGAGGUUAUGAAGAGCAGUGAUACACUGCUAGAAAACACUGAUGUUACUCAGCUGGCUACCAAAAACCUUAGUGCACUUGAUGAUAUCCAUUUUAAAGAAUCCACUUCUGAAUUACAUAAUGACAAUUUGUCUAUUGGGCAUCCUCAAAAAGAGACUGAUGAAGCUACUGUUCAAUUACCUCAUAGUCCUUGGAGAUUAGGUUCAAAGCAACAUCCUCCCAAGGUGGUGGAUAAAUUGAGGUCCAUCUCUCCUGUAAAUUCACCUCGUUCUCUUCAUACAACAAAGUCAAAUGCUGAGCAAAAUAAAUCUUCCAAACGUAUGCUUCAAGUUUCCAGUAAUUCUACACAUAAGAAAGUUGAUAACGGGUUUUCAAAGAAUUUAAAUAGCAUCAGCUCUUCACCGAGUCAGAUCACUACUCAUAAAAAGAAGCCUGCAUCUUCAGCUGAAACUUCUAAAACUACUCCAAAGGCAUUAUCACAGGCAGUUGAAGUUCCUGUUACAACUGAAAAUUUAAAGGAAUUUGAUGCUUUUCCUGUUGACAGGACUCCAGAAACUGCUAAGAGUAUGAAGAAUCUUAUUGCAGCUGCACAGGCGAAACGGAGACAAGUAGCUCAAGCUCAAUGUCAUCCUCUUUCCAUUUACUAUACUCAAGGGGGAACACCAAGCCCCUCUACAAUUCAACCAUUUUUGUCUGCCUCAAGUAAUAUUGAACAGGCUGAUUGGCAGGGAGUUCUUGAAAACCCAACUUUGGCUUCUCCAUCAACUAAUGGCUAUCAAUCCAUUUCUCUAAAUGAACUUGGUGCUGUAGAAAAUGAGGAGAAAAGAGUUAGUCCAGUGCAAAAGGAUGUAAGGGGAUCUCUAAGUGGUGGUACUGAUGCCGCUAUUGCUCGUGAUGCCUUUGAAGGAAUGAUAGAGACUUUGUCUAGAACUAAGGAAAGUAUUGGGCGUGCAACACGUUUAGCUAUUGAUUGUGCUAAGUAUGGCAUUGCCAAUGAGGUUGUUGAACUUCUUAUCCGAAAGCUGGAAAGUGAAACUAGUUUUCAUCGUAAAGUGGAUUUGUUUUUUCUUGUUGAUUCCAUCACCCAGUGCUCGCAUAAUCAAAAAGGCAUUGCAGGAGCCUCAUACAUCCCUACAGUUCAAGGAGGGUUGCCACGCCUUCUUAGUGCUGCUGCUCCCCCUGGGGCCAGUGCUUCUGAAAAUCGUCGUCAAUGUCUCAAGGUUUUAAAGCUGUGGCUUGAGAGGAAAAUAUUUCCUGAAUCAGUUCUUCGUCGUUACAUGGAUGAUAUGACAAUUAGUUGUUCAUUUAGGCGUCCUUCUCGUGCUGAACGUUCUCUGGAUGACCCAAUUAGAGAAUUGGAGGGCAUGUUUGUUGAUGAGUAUGGAAGUAAUACAUUUAAGCUGCCUGGCUUUUUAUCUUCUUGUGUGUUUGAAGAAGAUGAGGACAAUGAUUUUCCAAGUAAUGCAUCUCCAGCAGAUGCCAUCCGCAUUUUUGGGGAUUCAGAAACUUCUACUGUUACCCCUAGUGACAAGCGCCAUUGUGUCUUGGAGGAUGUGGAUGGUGAGCUGGAAAUGGAAGAUGUUUCAGGUCACCUCAAGGAGGAAAGACCUUUAUUACUGAACAGUCCUUCUGAAAAGGAUUCUCAACAUCAGGGCUCAGAAAGGAUUUUAGUUCCAGCUUCAAAGAUUUCUGCUGAGAUACCUGAUGAUAUUCUUGAGGGCUCUCCUCCUUUGCCAUUAGAUUCACCCCCUUCUCCACCACCUUUGCCUUCCUCACCUCCACCUCCUCCUUUGCCACCCCCAAGCCCUCCACCUUCACUGGUUCCUCAAUCAUCUGAGCCUGUUCAGCCUCCACUUUUCUCCCAGACAAUAGUGCCACCUCAGUUAUCGCAUCAGUCAUCACCAUUGUCAGGGUUUCAGCAGAGUGUACCUCAUGAUUUUAGUGGCUCAACCAAUGGCAACCAAAUAGGUCAAGUGGCUGGAAAUUCUUUACCUGGAAGUCACAAUAGCUCAGUUGUCAAGAAUGAAAUAUUACAACAGCCAUCUGCUUGCUUUCCUCCAAUGGCAGGCUGCAACUCUCAAGAACCCUCUGGUUUUAACCCUCCAAGGCAGUUAGAAUAUGGACAAAAUGAUAUGUAUCUAAAUUCUCAAGGCCCGCAACCUAAUAUGCAAUUUCAGCCAGCUAACCCACCAUUUGCUCCAAGACACGUGCAUCCUGCCCUACCCGAAAAUUCAUCCAAUCAGUACUCAUAUCCAAAACCUACAAUUCCCCAGCACCUUCCACAUUCUUUCCAGCCCCCCUUCUCAUUGCCAUCAGUUCCAGAUGCCCAGAGGCAAUUUGGUGCUAAUGAGCAAUGGAGGAUGCCAUCAAGUGAAUUUAUAACAAAUAAUCAGCAGGGUCUAUGGAUUGGGAGAAAUCCUUCAUGUCCUGCUCCUCCCUUUGGGCAGGAAGGUUUUUUUUCGGCCACCACUAGAAAGACCACCAAUAAACAACGUAGGUUUUCAGCAUGCAAAUCCUGGCAACAUACCUACUCAUCCUAUCACAGAUCAUUAAUUCCUUCUUCAGGACAUGGUGUUCCUCAGAUGUUGUCCUGUAGACCAGAUAUACCUGCACUUAAUUUUUGGAGGCCUACCUGAUGCUGAUAGAAAUAUUGUAAAAUUCAUCUGUACAAUUGGUGGUGUUGAUGCUUGUGGAUCAACCAUCGAGGUUACACAUUGUGGUUUGAAGUUAGAUUCACUUGUGUAGAACAUACGGACAACUACCCCUGAGGAAAGUUUUGAAAACUUGUGGAGGAUUUUGGCAGGACUGUGUAUAUUAUAAUUUUUCCUGACAAUGUAUCCCAAGAACAUUUGCUUCCAAGUUUAGGUCCUUGUUUCUGACUUGAUCUACGUGGUGUUGAAAGGGGAGAAUCAUAUAAAAAAAUUGUGGGAAGUUGUCAUCAAAGAGCAUUGCUGUAAAAUUCCAACACGCCGAUUUUCUAUUGAUUAGCUGAUCUCAGAAAUGGUAUUUAAUGCGCGUUUCAUAUUCUGCUUCUUAAACUUGUGGAUGAAGGUAUGAACACUGUAAUGUUAAUGAUCAUUACAUUAAGGGUUUGUUAGAACACUUACAGGUUAAGAAAAUAAUAAGGGAAAAUAAAAUAACUUCUUUAUAAGAUAAAAUUAGUUUAUACAUUAACUAAUUUGCAAAAAAUGGUCUUAUGUUAGCCUUUUUGAAGCCUAGUUUUUAAUUCCUGUAUAAGUUAGUUUUAGUUUAUAGGAUUUUUUUUUCAAUUUUCUUUUCUUGGAGAUGUUUAUGGAAGAAUUUGUCCGAAUAAGCUUUAAAACUAUGACGAUGUGUGCAUGUUUACGUGUUUUUAGUAAUUACACCUCAAGUAAGUGACUUUAAAACGCAUAUAGGAAAAACUUAAAUGCAAUAUAAAAUGUUUGUUUAUAUGCUGAGAAAUUUUACAGAAUUAACGAAUUCUUUAGACGUCUUAAUCUAUUGCACCUUUAUUUAUUCAUGGAUUUUACAGUUAUUGAGAAGAGCAGGUACUUUGAAGUUUUGCUUUAGUACAAGCGCUCAUCGCCAUUGCUUAAAAACAGAUAGGACAGUCAUGCCGUGGCUUUGGACUGCGACACAAUCAUGGACACUUUUUACCUUGAUGUCAUACUCUUCAGUAAAAUAUAUAGUCCUAUUUUUGGGUUCAAGCACGUUAUAAUGCUUGAUUUGUCUGUUAAACUUUCUAUUUUGCUGAAGAGGAAUUUUGAGUAACUUGAAUAUUUCAGGUUUUUGCGUAAGCGGAGAUGAUUGGUUUACCUCUCAGGUUUACAAUGUGGAUUCUGAACAACGAACAAGUUUACCUAACUUUUUCUGGAAAAAAGUAGUCACUGAAUCCGUUGCUGUGAGACACUCAGACUCACAUUGCAUCCAAAACUGUAGAUCUUCGAACUAGAUAGUUGACAUGGCGGAACAUAAUUUCUUCUUGUAUUAUACAUACAAUUUCUAUGCGGCGACAUUUAUAAGGAUGGUUCUCAUGAAGAGCUCAAAAAAUUUCUGAUUGGCACAUUACAAUGUUUAGAUAGAUGUACUGUGUAGCACUGAUGCAUGCACAUCUUCGCAGAUACCGAAGAAUCUUGAAGAAAGAUCUUUUUGUACUGUAGAAAGCAUUUCUGAUGUUUGGCAUUCUGCGUUCCCCAUCAAUGUGAUAUACAAGGUUGAUCAUCAGUGCUAACACAUAAUAUUGUGGCCUCUAUCAACUGAUCAAGCACCUUAUCUCAUGCUUUAUUAUCAGAGUUCAUUCUUAGGGAAGAUAGCAGAGAUUGUUGGUAUCUGAUUCUCGACUAUCAUACCAAAAUUGUAAGAGGGUUUUUCUUAUUUGAAGAAUCCGAUUUCUGUUUUCUUUUUUCUUUAAUGACGAAGAAUCCAAUUUUUAAGCAUGACAAAAGAAAGCCUGAGGUUGGUCUCUCCUGGGACCUAGACACUU